GGUGGUUCUAAAGUGACUCACCCCUGAAUCAGGCUCCCUCCUCUCUGGUUCCGGGUGCGUCACCCAAGAACCGUA
Molecule: non-coding RNA, 75 nt
Organism: Myotis brandtii (Brandt's bat)
Lineage: Eukaryota; Metazoa; Chordata; Mammalia; Chiroptera; Vespertilionidae
Source: Rfam